UACGGAGGGAGCUAGCGUUGUUCGGAAUUACUGGGCGUAAAGCGCGCGUAGGCGGCUUACCAAGUCGGGGGUGAAAUCCCGGGGCUCAACCCCGGAAUGGCCUUCGAGACUGGUGGUCUUGAGUUCGAGAGAGGUGAGUGGAAUUCCGAGUGUAGAGGUGAAAUUCGUAGAUAUUCGGAGGAACACCAGUGGCGAAGGCGGCUCACUGGCUCGACACUGACGCUGAGGUGCGAAAGCGUGGGGAGCAAACAGG
RNAcentral lists this ribosomal RNA (253 nucleotides) under uncultured bacterium. RNAcentral's name for it is "partial 16S ribosomal RNA". It matches the Rfam family "Bacterial small subunit ribosomal RNA", at positions 524 to 776 of the family's 1533-position model. The record is from RNAcentral.